CCAGUCGGCUGGGCGACCGCUGCCGCCAAUGUCGAAAGACGGCGGGGGAGGAAAGUCCGGGCUCCACGGAGAAACGGUGCCGGGUAACGCCCGGCGGGGGCGACCCUAGGGAAAGUGCCACAGAGAACAGACCGCCUCGCGGCCCAUCCUCGCACCGGCGCCUCGUGCGCUGGCGGAUGGCGUCUGCGGGGUCAGGGUGAAACGGUGGGGUAAGAGCCCACCGCGCUUCAUGGCAACAUGGGCGGCACGGCAAACCCCACCGGGAGCAAGACCGAAUAGGAACGACGUGGCGGGCGACCGCCGGCCUCUCCGGGUCAGUCGUUCGGGUGGGUUGCUCGAGGCGGCGCGCAAGCGUCGUCCCAGAGGAAUGGUCGCCGGGCGGCGAGAGCCGCUCACAGAACCCGGCUUAUAGGCCGACUGGCACU
This 425-nucleotide RNase P RNA is filed under the name Aureimonas sp. Leaf427. RNAcentral's name for it is "bacterial RNase P". It matches the Rfam family "Bacterial RNase P class A". From Rfam's summary of the family: Ribonuclease P (RNase P) is a ubiquitous endoribonuclease, found in archaea, bacteria and eukarya as well as chloroplasts and mitochondria. Its best characterised activity is the generation of mature 5'-ends of tRNAs by cleaving the 5'-leader elements of precursor-tRNAs. The record is from RNAcentral. Lineage: Bacteria; Pseudomonadati; Pseudomonadota; Alphaproteobacteria; Hyphomicrobiales; Aurantimonadaceae. RNAcentral also lists the same sequence under 1 other name.